This is a long non-coding RNA of Folsomia candida, 509 nucleotides long. RefSeq lists it as uncharacterized. The record is from RefSeq and is a predicted model, not a curated record. Lineage: Eukaryota; Metazoa; Arthropoda; Collembola; Entomobryomorpha; Isotomidae. The transcript is spliced from 3 exons.
AGACCUACAAAAAAGUAACCAGAGGAGAAACACGCCCUUUGUAUCGUUAAAAAUUUUGUGUUUAUUUUUCUUAUUGUGUUUCGUGUGUGUGUGUUUAGCGAGCAUCUGCCGUGGAGUGGAGUGGGUAACUGCUCAACAAACACCUCCACCGAUAACAAAUUGUAACCAUCCCGAGAUUGUGGCACACAACGACAAAUUUUCACAUUCGUAUUGUUUCCAUACGUGCGGCUUCUUGGAAGCGAUGACGGUGACGAAUACGACGCCAUUGUUGAACUUUCUCAGCAACGGGCAACCCUUUGGGGAUGCAGCGGAGGGGUAUUGUGCGCCAGGGGGACAUUGCGUCUGCCAAGCGGCCUGUCCUCUGAGCGUCCCCCGGCAAGAAACGACGCCAGACAGGAUUCUUUGUCCUAUUGACCCCACUUCGCUGAACCCGAUCCCUUCUCCAACCACCAUAACUAAUUGCGUGUCCACCUGCGCCACUCAAUGUGUUGGGGGUCAGCCCCGAGUUU